RNAcentral lists this transfer RNA (21 nucleotides) under Elaphe sauromates (Sarmatian rat snake). RNAcentral describes it as "partial tRNA-Leu". Lineage: Eukaryota; Metazoa; Chordata; Lepidosauria; Squamata; Colubridae. The record is from RNAcentral.
UCUACUAAAGGAUAACAGCAU